Molecule: transfer RNA, 83 nt
Filed under: Paenibacillus sp. GP183
Lineage: Bacteria; Bacillati; Bacillota; Bacilli; Caryophanales; Paenibacillaceae
Rfam family: tRNA
About the family: Transfer RNA (tRNA) molecules are approximately 80 nucleotides in length. Their secondary structure includes four short double-helical elements and three loops (D, anti-codon, and T loops). Further hydrogen bonds mediate the characteristic L-shaped molecular structure. tRNAs have two regions of fundamental functional importance: the anti-codon, which is responsible for specific mRNA codon recognition, and the 3' end, to which the tRNAs corresponding amino acid is attached (by aminoacyl-tRNA synthetases). tRNAs cope with the degeneracy of the genetic code in two manners: having more than one tRNA (with a specific anti-codon) for a particular amino acid; and 'wobble' base-pairing, i.e. permitting non-standard base-pairing at the 3rd anti-codon position.
Source: Rfam by way of RNAcentral
GCCGGUGUGGCGGAAUGGCAGACGCGACGGACUCAAAAUCCGUUUCCUGAGAGGGAGUGGGGGUUCGAGUCCCUUCACCGGCA